RNAcentral lists this long non-coding RNA (1149 nucleotides) under Sorghum bicolor (sorghum). RNAcentral's name for it is "long non-coding RNA (SBIC_LNC016298)". Lineage: Eukaryota; Viridiplantae; Streptophyta; Magnoliopsida; Poales; Poaceae. The record is from RNAcentral.
GCUGUUUAUCUGUUCCUAGAGAUGCUAGAAGUCUGGAGAAUUUUUUCCUUGAAAAAUCUUUCAAAUAUCACAUGAUGAGUUCCUGUAUGAUGAGAGUUUAAAAUCCUACCACAGCCAUAUAUACAUGCUUAUUAGACUUUGAGCCACAUAUUUACUUUUUACUGCUUAUGAGCAUUGAGUGUGGUCAAGCUGUGUAGACCCUUAGGAGCUUGUCAUGUGGUUAAAAUCAAGAUUCACUUGCACGUUCACUCGUAUAUGCUACUUCUACUCCGAAAGUACGCAUCCACAUACAUCCACUCAUUUCCAUCUCCAGAUUCACCAAAAAUUAUUCUACUCCUAAUCCGGGAGAGAAUAGCCAAAAACAUUAUCCUAUCCCUAUUAUUCCCUGUGGAAUAAAUGCUCGAGUUAUCUUGGUUACUACCACUUAUUGCUAUAUUAUUUCAGGAAAUGAGUGCUCUCUAGUAAAAAAGAGAGGAUACGAGGAAAUAAAAAGGGGCAAGUACCCGGAACCUCGAACAAAAAAAAAAGAGUGAGACGAGAGGUAAAAAUGGACAAGUGUCCAACAGUAGAAUUAGGGGUACAAGAUACCCACCUUAGAGGAAAGGAAAAAAAGAAAAUAUAGAGCAACUCAUUCUCCCCAAAAAGCUUCAAAGUGCAAGAAAGGUAUGUAUCCCUUCAAAAGAGCAAAAGUAGAAUUAGACUUCCACCAUUGUUAUCACCAUUAUCACCAUACACCAUUCACUCGCCACACAUGCACAUCUUGAUUUGACUUAUUGACUUGUUCUUCUGGAUCCAUGGUUUGACUAUGCAAUAAAUGUCUUAUAAGUAUGUAUUAUCUGUCUCCCACCUAUGAGCUCUAGAUAUCAAAACCUUAUUAGAGUAGGGUGAGAGAGAAGGCAAUAUCACUAUGCCUAAUACCAAAAAUACCACAUACUUUGAGAGAAGGCAUAUACCAUUACUGCCUUGGAAAGGAUCCAGAAAUACCACAAAAGAGAGAUUUGAGAGAGUCAUACAAGGAAUCUCUGAGUUUUAUUUGAAAAUCUGCAAAAACUCCAGAACUAUAGCUGAUCAAGAAUAAGAGACAUGGCACUUGACUUGACCGUUCUAUCUUUUAACUGCUCAAGACACAAGUGAUGGUUACAAGCCCCA